AAAUUGAGGAGUUUGAUGAUGGCUCAGAUUGAACGCUGGCGGCAGGACUAACACAUGCAAGUCGAACGGUAACAGGAAGCAGCUUGCUGCUUUGCUGACGAGUGGCGGACGGGUGAGUAAUGUCUGGGAAACUGCCCGAUGGAGGGGGAUAACUACAGGAAACGGUAGCUAAUACCGCAUAACGUCGCAAGACCAAAGAGGGGGACCUUCG
Molecule: ribosomal RNA, 211 nt
Filed under: Enterobacter cloacae complex sp. 2DZ2F20B
Lineage: Bacteria; Pseudomonadati; Pseudomonadota; Gammaproteobacteria; Enterobacterales; Enterobacteriaceae
Description: partial 16S ribosomal RNA
Rfam family: Bacterial small subunit ribosomal RNA
Source: RNAcentral